Long non-coding RNA from Centrocercus urophasianus (Greater sage-grouse), 1616 nucleotides. RefSeq lists it as uncharacterized. Lineage: Eukaryota; Metazoa; Chordata; Aves; Galliformes; Phasianidae. The record is from RefSeq and is a predicted model, not a curated record. The transcript is spliced from 4 exons.
UCAAUCACUGCUUUCACUUCUCUUAACCAGGGUGCCCAGUACACGGGGAGCAGUGACUAUCAGGACUCUCCCUCUUACUGCACUAAACUCUGCCAGCUUCUUUUCCAAGGGAGGGGGAGCGACCAACCAGACAGGAUGAAAAGUAGCAGAGGAGGAAAGUUUAGAAGCCGGCGGGAUUUCUUAAACCGGAUGAGAACUCACAGUUAUACUGUGCUCAUAGCUACCUGCCAUAAAUCCGGCACGAAGCAGCUGUCUCCUGUGAUUCAUGCUGGGGAUACAUCCAGAUCAAGAACUGCAAAGCCCAGGAGCACCUCUGUUUGGACAGCCACUUUCCUGGGAGGAAGAGAACAAACUGUGAAAACCUUCUAAGUGACUGCUAGGGAAACUUCUCUUCGAGUGCAUCCUGGAAUGAUUUCCCAGCUGUGCCACGAGAGGAUUUCUAAAUCAGAUUGGAAAAACACAAGGGUUGCAAAUCUGCUUAGCAUGUACGGUGUAGGGCACAGCGAAGACAUUUCAUAAACAGAGAAUUCAUUGUUCACAUUCUUCAAAAGGCUCACGGUAGCAAUGAAUAAUUUAAGAUCGAGAGGGACAAAAGAUCUGAAGCAAGAGUGCUACCAUGGGCUUGGAAUAAUACCUAGUACAAGCAUUCAGGUUUUGUCCAGUGCAAUUUCAGAUGUGAUAUUCAAAGAGCAGUAUGAGUACCCUUCCUUUCACACAUGUGACAAGGGAAGUUGUUUGCUCUAUCAGCUAGCAGGCCAGUGGCAAGGCUGAGAACAGAGCCUGCAUGUGUUCUGUGUCUUUUCGGACCCAUGAGUCAACAUUUUUCAACGACCACAAAUGAGCCUAUCUCCUUUCUACUAAUGAAUUCAUGUAUGAGAGAAAGAGAGAGAAAGAGAUGAAAAAAUAUAGGGAGGAAUGACCUUUAAAACAGUCAGAUUGUAUGAAAAGCCCAUUUUCAUCUUGUUCUACCCAUUUCCUCACCACUCUCUCAGGCUGAAUGGCUCCUAGGGGAGAACGGAAGCCAAUAGCUUUCCCUCAAGCUGCAAAAUGUGAAAUGUCUGCACAGACCUACCCAGACGUCCACAGGGAAAUAACUACGGCAUACAUCCUGCAUUCAGUUAUUGCACAGGCCAGCCAUGGUGGUAAUAAAGCCCUGAAUCUGUGCAGGAAAACAGAUGGCAUCGGAUGUAAUAAAUAUGACAAAUGGCAUGGAGGCUCCUGAAGAGUCACAGCAUAGAGAAUGGCUGCCAGCAGCUCCUGGUUCAAAUAUCUAGUAUUUUUCAAGUCUGAGUUAAGCCCUCUAACUGGAGAAAGGAUAAGACACGCACAGAGGAUGAAAAGCAAAAAAACAAAUAGCCAGCAACAAGCCCUAGAGGAAAUAAAAUCAGAUCAAGACUUAUGCCACGGAAAGACAGCAAACACUGUAUCAGGCAACUCAAAUCCUAACCCAAAUCACUUCUGCUGUCUUGUGUUUGAGUUCCACAGGGUGGGAAAGGUGCCUUGGUGUAACUUAGGGAGCAGUUACUAACAGAAGCAUCAUUGCUUUGAAGUGCUCAGAGUGGUGUGCUAAUGUCAGUAGCUACCUCUAAGGGCAGACCCUCACUACUAAGCAACUU